Molecule: non-coding RNA, 663 nt
Organism: Bufo bufo (common toad)
Lineage: Eukaryota; Metazoa; Chordata; Amphibia; Anura; Bufonidae
Source: the annotation of a RefSeq genome assembly
CAGUCACAGUGCUUGUUUUUGUCAGUGAGCUGGUGCUGCUUUUUGGUGCUUGUGUUUUCCUCUAACUCCCGGCAGAAUGUUGGGGGUUAUGUCUUCUAAUAUAUGUGUUACCUUCCUCAUAGUAUUUUAUUACUUUUCAUGUUCAGUGCUGGGAAAUGUUAUCACCUCAGAAAAACAAAAUGUGAACGCUAAACCUGGGGAAUCAGUAAUAUUAACCUGUAACUACUCAACCAGCAGCUCUUCCCCAUAUCUGCACUGGUAUCGUCAGUACCCCAACCAAAUGCAGUAUAUCCUCACUCGGGGGGCAAAGAGCUAUUCAAGCUUAAAGCGUGAGAAUCCAGAUUUGGAGCCUAAAAAAUUCCAGUCAGAGACCAGCGAUACAUCCACCUCUUUAUCCAUCUCCAGCCUGACCGUGUCUGAUUCUGCCUUGUACUUGUGUGCUCUCAGUGAUGGGGCACAGUGGUGAACAUGUACUUACAUACAGUGUUAAAAGCGCAAUGUAAUAUACUGUUACAGACACUAGGUGGCGCAGUGCAACAACAUCCACAUAUCUGUAUUCUAACUGCUCUGUAUUUUAUCAAUUUUACCCUGUUCAUAGUUGUCAUUUUUAGAAUGUGCAUCUAAAAAAAAAAGUUUAAAAAAUGAGCGGUCUUAAUAAUAUUA